Long non-coding RNA from Alexandromys fortis (reed vole), 5743 nucleotides. RefSeq lists it as uncharacterized. The transcript has 3 exons. NCBI's taxonomy places the organism in Eukaryota, Metazoa, Chordata, Mammalia, Rodentia, Cricetidae. The record is from RefSeq and is a predicted model, not a curated record.
UUGAAAUGCUGCCGGCUGAUAUCGAGGGAAACACGACCCCUCAACUUAGAAGUUCCUGGAACUUCUUGCCAGACGGAAGUGGGUGGGUCGACAAAGCUUCUGGCGUAGAGCAGUGUUCUCGCACGGGCUAACCAAACUCUGCCCCUGAACUGUAUUUCCAGCCCUGAACUGAAAUUAUUUGAUGAUGUUCCCAGCCUGAGACAGGGAGCAAGUGAAAGACCCCCAGUGCUGGAGAGACUCUCACUCAAGUCUCGGGAUAACACGACACCCCCAGUAACUCACAAGAGACCGUCCUUGCUGCAAUCACACGAAGCUUUAAUGAUGAGAUGAGUCGGGAACCAGUGCACUGGGGCCUAGACUCAUAACCCACGCAGGGGGAGAGUUCGACCCCGAGUGACCUGGAGAAGCGAUUUUUAAGGGAAGAAACCACAGCCCAGUGAUCCGGAAUUGGCAGGGGGCACGUCACAGAAAAUUCCCCGAAAAUACCAGUGAAGAUUACAAGGGGGCAACCCCCUGCCUCUGAGGACCACUCCCAAGGUCAUAACCAGCUAGUUCUUAAAACCCAGUGACACUCACAAAGGGGAAACUCCCAGUUUCUCAAGAUUAUUCUCAAGAUUACAACCUAACUUUAUCUUCAGCUAGUUCCUGAAACACAGUCACUAAACUGGCUAAUCCUAGAUUUUUGAUUCUUCUCUUCCUGCUUGGAUUUUUGGCUAUUUUCUUCCUGCUAGGGAGAUCUGGAUUUAUCCAGGUCUUUCAAUAGUAUUAAAUUCACAUUGCUUUAAUUUAAAGCAAACUGUAAUUAAGACUUUACUAAGUAUUUUCAGAAUGUACUUUUUUGUAGUUUGUGUUUCAAUUCCACAACUCUGGCAGUUAUUUUAGAUGGAGUGACUUUAAGCACCAAAAAAAAAAAAAAAAACCAGGGUCUCACUGUGUAGCCCUGGCUGUCCUCAAAACUCACUAUGUAGGCAGUCCAAGCUGUCCUCAAACUCACAGAAACCUCCCUACCUCUGCCUUUCCAGUGCUACCACUAAAAGCAUGGGCCACCACACCCAGCACUGAGUGACAGACAGUCUUAAAUUGUUUCAGUUAACUUAAGUUUACUAGUCUUGUCUUGUAUUCACAGUAAAAUUUUUACUUUUAACAUUUCUAAAAUUCCACGUUGAGACUAUUUAUUUUGAUUGCUGAAUUUCUUUCACUUCUUUAAAUCCUGUAUUGUUUACCCUAAUUCUGGCUUUGUAAGGUAACACACAUAUUGAAUCCUACAGGUUAAAGAACCCAACGCAGCGUAGAUGUGGGGCUCCAUAAUCUAUGCCUAGUUUUGUUUUUGUUUUUUAAAUCAUUGUCCUUUAUGAGAAGGAAGGGCUCUCUGGGUCAUUUAAACACACACAUUGCCUCCCUAGUUCCAUUCUUGCUGUGGUGGUUUGAAAGAAAAUGCCCCCCUAAAGGGAGUGGCACUAUUAGGAAGUGUGGCCUUGUUGAAGGAAGUAUGUCACUGUGAGGGUGGGCCUUGAGGUCUCCUAUGUUCAGGCUACACCCAGUGUCUCAGACCACUUCCUAUUGCCCAUUGAUCAAGAUGUUCAGGACACUUGGCUACUUCUCCAAGAGCUUCUAUAAGAGCUGUUGUGGUUAUGAUAUCUCUUCACAACAAUAGAAACCCCAGCUAAAACAGUUGCCCUUUUAAGACAUAAGGAAAAAAUCUGAACUAUUUAACAUGGUUUUCAACUUAAUUUUAACCUGUUCUGAAGUCUGGCUCACUAAUGGUAUGUUUAUAGAUGUUUACCCCCUCCCCAUAUUUACACCGUUGCAAAGUUGAUUUCCUGAAAUAAAAAGAUACAGUAUUGGAGCCUUGCACUGUUAUUUGAUAACAACACACCCCACCUACUACAUUACUUCCAUGCCUUCCAAUGGCUUCCUCUUAUAAUCCUGCCUCUGCUUUGUGGACAAGGCAAAGGAAAAACUAGAUUUACCUUUGCCUCCAGAGUGAAAUUCCCUGCCCCUAUUGAAAGCUUUGUUUUAAUGGUGCCUGACUUGAACUUUGGGGUAUUCGUAUUUUUCCAGGUUACACACCCUUUCUUGUAUGUGAAGAAUGUAGCAAACGUUGUUUAAAGAAAAAUGUAGGCAUUUCCCUGCAAAUUGAGGGCACCCCUGGGCAAACACUUAAAACUGUAUAAAUAGCACCUGAAUGAAUGGGCUGCCUUGGCUGAGCCCUGUUUCCACGCAGAAAGGAGUCGCCACAUUCUCUUUGAUGCUUGACUGGAGAGGUUGCGAGUGCUCCUCCUUCAUUUAUUUUCCUUCUUGACAAAAAUUGUAUUAUAUGUGUAGUUGUACAGUUUCAGGGAGGAACUGUAAGUGAAGCAUUUCUCCUGUUAGUGGAUCCUUCCCAAUGCAGCAUGCACUUCGGCCUUGGUCAGCUGUCAGUAUCCUCAGCAUCUGAAAUGUACCCCCAUACAUACUUUAAAGAUUCUCUCCUCAACUAGUCACCCUCUCCCCCUUUUGCAUAUUGUAAGAUAAAUGACCAUGAAGGAGCCUCGCCCCCAAAGAUAAGUUCCUAGAAUGUGAAGAACCUGCUAAGAAUAUACAGUUUACAGGUUACCUUGAACAAACACAAGCUUCACAAAGGCUCAAGUCUCAGGACAGAAAAAAAAAACAUGAAUGGAAAUAUUUAAGGCAAAUUCAAAUAUUCUGAAAUAUUGAGGAACCUUAAAAAAUUUAACUAAACUGAAAAAAAAAUGGCUCAAAUGUUUUGUUAGAGAUACAAAAAUUUACAAUUUGCUCCAGUGUCAUUAUAGGGGAACCAGGAACCCUAGAGAGAGAGAGAGAGAGAGAGAGAGAGAGAGAGAGAGAGAGAGAGAGAGAGAAGAGGAGUGUGGUGGUUUGAAUGGGAAUGGCCCUGUAGACUCAUAUGGGAAUGUUUAGUGAUCAAGGAGUGGAACUGUUUGGGAAGGACUAGAAGGAUUGGAUGUGUGGUUUUAUUGGAAUAGGUGUGGUCUUCUUGGAAGAAGUGAAAAACAUGUUACUACUGACCUACAUUUUCUCUUAAUUAUAAGAAAUUGUAAAAUAAAGUUCACAUUCUUUGGUCCUUUCACAUUACACAGAAGAAUGCUUUACCCAUGUUUGUCUUUGGACAAUAUAAAAGUCUUUAUUUAAAAAUGUUCUGUUUCUCUAAAUGUACACAGAGGGAAAGAUUUGGAUUAAAAUAUGUUAAAAGCACAGAAAACAAAGAAGUUCUGGUUAAACAAAAUCAAGAGAACCUGGUGAUGAUAUUCAGAAAGUUAAUAGGAGUCAGCCACGGGAGAGCAGGAUGUGGGGAACAGACACAGGAGGGUUAGAACACAUGGUGAGCAAGUACCUCCAACUUCCCCAGACCUCUGCUGAUUUUAUUUGAGAAGUUAGUAAGCAGCUCAGAAAUGUCCACUUUAUAGUCUUACUUCUAAUUGUUUCAUAUAAUGAUAGGAUUUUAUUGACUAAUACAAAAUCAGAUAAGAGACUGCUUCUAUCCAGAAGAUAUAUCUGGCAAACUCCCUGAUCAAAGGGUCUGGCAGUUGGAGAAGUAGAUACACCCUGGGAAGCACUGCUGAAGUAUAGGCAGCUUUCUCUUGUGAGCUGGUAUUUAAAGCCGUAUUUUAUUCCUUUCUAUAUGCAGAGAAAGUUCCCUGGAUUCACAGCAAAGAAUAAGUUAUGGCAGCUUCUUGACUGAAAGGCUAAAAUAGUGUGUUUCUGUUCCUCUUUCAAUUAUGGGAUAUGUUUCUCAUUCUUCACCGGAAGUCCUGAGUAAAUGGCACUAGAGAUACAACAGUAGGCAAGAUGUGAGGCCAUUGCUAAGACACCCUAGAAGUUUGUGGCCUUGCCUGUGGAUGCUCCACCAGAUGGCUUUUGAAGUCUUUGUACAUUCAAGCUGGCUCAUUCUUGCAUCCAGUAUGUCCUCUGAAGGCUUGUGGCCAAAGGCUGGCUGGUGAGAAGUGGCUGGUUAUAAUUUCCCACAGGUGAAUCUCGAGGGUUCCUCACUCCUCUCAUCAGAUGUCUUGUGUUUUUUGAGUCUUCGUGGCCCCAGAGAUCGCAGGGUCCCCAUGCUGGCUGUCUCUCUGAGAUUGCUGAGCUUUUUUCAGUUCCCUGCAAUCAAAGGAGACAGGCUGGGUAAGUCCUUCCCUAGUUUAAGGCAGUAUUUAUAAUCACAGCUAAUCUCUUUAUUUCAGUUUUACAAAAUCAAGCCCAAGAUAUGUGCAGAAUGAAGAAUCAAUUUUAAUGAUUCUUACUAUCAUUAAAAAGAAUGAUACAUUCAUGGUUCAUAAAUCACCUUUAAAAUUAAAAUUAUAAGUGAACAACUCUUUAGGCAAAAUAUAAGAACUGUGAGGGCAACAAACCACAGAUCUCACUGAAACAGUUAAUCAUUGUUAUCUGAUAUACAUAUAGCAGAUAUAUACAUAUAUAUACUAUAAAUAUGUAAUAUAUAUUCAGUGGCUAUUUUCACCCAAUGAAGACAGGAUUGAAUCAUUACAGGAGAAAUCAUACGUACUAGAAACCGUGAACCAUUUAAUAUCUAAUCCUUUAUAGAACAAGUUUACCACCCUUUGGUCUAAACCAGCAGUUCUCAGCCCAUGGGUCAUGACACCUUUGGGAAUCAAAUGACCCUUUCAUAGGGGUUGCUUAAGACCAUAGGUAAAUACAGAUAUUUAAUUACAAUUCAUAAAGGUAGCAAAAUUACAGUUAUGAAGUAGCAAUGAAAAUAAUUCUAUGGGUGGGGUCAACACCACAUGAGGAAUUGUAUUGAAGGGUCGCAAGCAUUAGGAAGGUUGAGACUCACUGGUCUAGACAGUUUCAAGUUACCAUCUGCCCCAUCUCUGUGGUUUCUAUGAUCAUUUAUACUGAAGAAUGACAGACACUUGUACCUCCAACUGAGCAUCACAGAGCACUACACACACUUUCAAGAAAUUGUCAUGCUUCUGAGCAUCAUAUUUUGGUAUUUUGUAGUUUAUUAUCUAAAAUAAAAACUCAAAAAGAGCAAUGAGUAUGAAGUGGUUUAGGAGUGGCUGUUCAAGUUUUCAAACUAAUCUUCCAAGAGGGACUUUGUAGCUAAAGAAAGUUGGACUUCUAAGCAAUUUUCAAGCAGGGACCAUAUUUCAUUUUCCUCUUUUUCUUCAAUAGUGCACAUAUGAUGCAAAAAUCAACUGAGAAUUUCUUCAAAAUUCUACUUAAAUGCCAUUGCAUGACCUCUUCCAGUCACACCCAAAUUAAUUCCCAUUUGUUUUAUGAGGGAAUAAAUUAAUAAACGAUAACAGGCCUACAUCAACCAAGGGUCAUAUUGUCUUCUUUGCUCAGAAAAAGAUAUAAUUCUCUAAAUAUGUUAUCACGAUCCGAUGUCUGCCUUCUGUCCCUGCAGCUUGGUACUUUCUAAAGAGGUCUCUACUCACUUAAGAUCCUCAAACAAACUACUAAACUAAGAUUAUCUUGGGUGUUCACCUAACAGUUCCUUUGAUACCUGCUGUCCCUCAGAGUCCAAGAACUCCCUUGUUACUGGUCUUUCCUUGCAAUUCUUUUUCUUGCUUCUUUUGCAUUACCUGGGAUUCUCUCAAGUUGCCUAGACACAGAGCUACAGAGCCACACACCAUAAAACAGACACUGCCAGGUUUCUUGUGGGCAGAGCGUAUAUCUGAGGGUGUAGAAUGUGCAUAGACUUGGAUCCCUAGACACACCAUGGUCUAGUCAGAUCACUGUGAGUUGCUCCCACAGACCCUUUCUUGGU